RNAcentral lists this long non-coding RNA (1161 nucleotides) under Cairina moschata (Muscovy duck). RNAcentral describes it as "domestica (muscovy Duck (domestic type)) lncRNA (ENSCMMG00000002131.1)". Lineage: Eukaryota; Metazoa; Chordata; Aves; Anseriformes; Anatidae. The record is from RNAcentral.
CUCUCGCUAUUCGCCUUUUGCAUAAAGGUUCAGUUUGGUUAUUUUUAACACUUCAUGGUGCCUUUCCUCUGGGCUUUCUCAUGCAAAGUGCAAAGCGAGGAGAGAGGUUCAUCGGGGAAAGGAGGAGGGAGAAGAGACCGAAGACAAAAAAAAAAAAUCAAAGUCGAUAUCGCAACCAAAAUAAUAACAAUCAUAAAAAAAAAAAAGGAGAGAGAGAGAAAAAAAAAAAAAAAACACAACUCAACCCCAAAGCUACGGCAAGAAGAUGAAAAAUAUUUUAAAGGUUUCAUCCAGCAGGAGAGUUUAAAAGCAUUGCAGAGUUUUAUAGCGCUCCUGACGUCAGCCUCCGAAUGGCAAAUUGGCUGGGCGGGCGGCCCAAUGGGCUGCCUGCAGCCGCCGGCAUUAGCAUAAUAGUAUAGAAACAAGGAAACUUUUCGGGGCUGUCAAUCAGGGCGCAAUCAGCUGACUGUCAGCUGGGAGCGCCGUAACCCCUUCCUGCCCGCCCCGUUCACCGGGGACCGGGCACCGGGCUGGGGCCGCUCCUCCCGCCGGGACGCGCCGUCGGGUGUCCGCCCGGCUCCGCUCCGCUCCGCUCCGCGCUGCCUUGCUUUGUCCUGCUUUGUCCUGCUCUGUCCUGCUUUGUCCUGCUCUGCCCCGGGGUGCGGAGCCCCCGGGUGCUCCUGGCCGGCCGGGCACCCGAGGGCACCGGGGGACUUGGCCCGGGGGCGUGCGGGGACGGCCCGAGGGAGGGGGCUGCUCCUGGGGGCUCCGCGGGGCUCGGCGGUGCUGCCGGGCUCAGCCGGGCUCCAUCCACUACCUGGUGCCGCUACCGAGACCCCCGGGCCGCCCCCCGGCGGCGGCGGCUCCCCCCUGGGUCUGCCGCUUGCUGCCGGCAGCGAUCGUUCCCCGGCCGUCCCCAGCAGAGAGCCUCCCCUCCCGGUGCCCCCCGGCCGGGGCUGGAGGGGGGGGAGCCGUGCGAGCGCGGAGCGGGCUGCACCCGGCGGUGCCGAGCGGCGGCGGAGCGGCUCCGUUCAAACCUCGACAGCGCCAUCUCUCGUCGAAAGUUCUGCACAGCCCCACAACGCACACGCACAGAGAGCCGUGGACAUCUGCUGGGUUUAUCUUGCAGCUGAUAUUCGUGACAUACUUAAUACGACUUAA